ACGUACACUCCUGCGGGAGGCAGCAGUGGGGAAUAUUGGACAAUGGGCGCAAGCCUGAUCCAGCCAUGCCGCGUGAGUGAUGAAGGCCCUAGGGUUGUAAAGCUCUUUCACCGGUGAAGAUAAUGACGGUAACCGGAGAAGAAGCCCCGGCUAACUUCGUGCCAGCAGCCGCGGUAAUACGAAGGGGGCUAGCGUUGUUCGGAUUUACUGGGCGUAAAGCGCACGUAGGCGGACUAUUAAGUCAGGGGUGAAAUCCCGGGGCUCAACCCCGGAACUGCCUUUGAUACUGGUAGUCUUGAGUUCGAGAGAGGUGAGUGGAAUUCCGAGUGUAGAGGUGAAAUUCGUAGAUAUUCGGAGGAACACCAGUGGCGAAGGCGGCUCACUGGCUCGAUACUGACGCUGAGGUGCGAAAGCGUGGGGAGCAAACAGGAUUAGAACCCCGGUAGUCCCA
This 451-nucleotide ribosomal RNA is filed under the name uncultured organism. Its description in RNAcentral is "partial 16S ribosomal RNA". It matches the Rfam family "Bacterial small subunit ribosomal RNA", at positions 329 to 797 of the family's 1533-position model. The record is from RNAcentral.